GUUUUUCUAAUAUAAGUAGUAUAAUUGACUUCCAAUCAAUAAGUCUGGUCUCUCCAGGAAUAAUA
This 65-nucleotide transfer RNA is filed under the name Typhlatya arfeae. RNAcentral's name for it is "tRNA-Gly". Lineage: Eukaryota; Metazoa; Arthropoda; Malacostraca; Decapoda; Atyidae. The record is from RNAcentral.